AGUUCUGCAAGGUUCGCCACCCAUCAAAGUAGUUGGUAAAAACACCUGUCAUAGUUGGCAAAACCAGUUUGUUCUUCAAAUUCUUCCACUACCCACUUCGCAUCUACCUCCACGAUGAGUUUGAUGAUACCCAAACGUUUUGCUAAUUGGAUCCUUUGCAUAAUCCCCCCAAAGUUCAGCAUUUUCGCAGGUUGAUUCUUCCAAUUUUAUCAUAAAUCCUCCAAUCCAUUCUCCGUUCACAUCCCUAAUUAACUCAACUGUUGUCGAUUUCCCUAAAUCAGUGUGGGUGUUGAGAAUCCAGGUACCCAAAGGCGAUUUUCUCCAAUUAAUCUAGAGAGGCUCUAUUAUGUUAUUCCUAGCUUUAGAUUCUUUGGCUAGUUUGAUAUCUUUUGCAAAAGAGAGGUUGUACUUCAUCACCAUAUUAAUAUCCUCUUCCUUAUUUCUGAAGACUAAGGUAUUUCUGUUCUUCCAUGCCAAAUGGUGGUCAUAAAGAUCGUUCCCUAGUCUAUUCCUUCGAAGGAGAUUUUCUUUGACUUACUGUUUUCUUUCAUCCAUUCAAGGAAUGAAGCUUCAUUAUACUGAUGAUUGUAAAUUCUAACUUGAUUCUUCUCCCAAACUGUCACUGUUGUAGGACAAAAUCUCAGCACAUGUUCGAUUGUUUCCAAGAUCCAAUUGACAUGCUUUGCCUGGUCUUCCGUGUUUGAGAAAUCCAUAAUGGUCUUAUAAACCGUGCCAACUGAGAAUCUUCCAUCUUUCAAAUUUGCCCAUAAAGCAUCCUCCAGCUACAUUUAGUGAGCAUCGCUAAGCUUAUAUCACCGGCGAACUCGGUGUAGCAGAAGGCGAAGAGGAGGGCGCAGAGUCCGGUAAUGGCGUAAGAGGUAACAACAACAGGGUUGGUGUAGAGGUGAGUAACUCUGCCGGUGGUGAUGAACACAACGGCUCCGACCAUACCUCUGAUUUCCAGGCCAACUAAAUCGAACCAACAGAGGGUUUUUCACAUGUCGGAGUUGGAACGAGCCUUUAUCUGGCUGAGUUCUUCGUAGGAGGAAGAAACAAAGGGUGCACAACGAGCAAAGCGAUGAGGGGUAUAGGCCAAGCCAUGGAGGUAUGAUUGUACAUUAGAGAAAGAGGAAGAUUGGGUUUCCAUUAGAACUGACGAAGAAGAAGAAGAAGAAGAAGAUUUGGGUAAAAUUGUGGUAACGGGGGCUAUAGUUUCAUUCAUGAAAUUUACCCAAUUGUUUAAUUAUUUUUUAAAUUUUUUGGUAAAGCACCGGUCAUAGGGAGAAGUAAGGUUCUCCAUUGUGACGGUCAAACCAUCCAGGUAAGCAGUUAACGGUACACGUGUGUUUUUCGUAACGCCUCUUGACGGCUGUUAACGGUGAGUGACUAAUUUAUCACAAACGAUAAUAUUAGUGACAGAUUUGUAAUUUUUGAAACAUUAGUGGUCAAAACGAAAAUUUAUCCAAACAUUAGUGACCAUUGACGUAGUUUACCCUUAUGUUGGUUAAAUUGCAUGAAACCCCAUAUUUCCUUCAUUUAUAGUUUCGUCUGUUUUAUUAUACUUGGAAUUAAAUCACAUGAAUCCUCUCAUGUUUUUGUUUUAAUUUAGAUGGUUAAAUUGCAUGUAAACCCCCACACUUUCCCUGUUUAUAUUUUAGACUUCUAACCUCGUCUGUAACCAACUCAUCGGACUGUAACUUCCGAGGUGGGGUUACCACAAAGGCUGAGGCUGCUCCCACAUCGGUUACAAACAACGAGAAAGAGAGGGCGCGUGAAGUGCAGAGAACAAGGAAGGAAUCGAAAA
Molecule: long non-coding RNA, 1804 nt
Organism: Hibiscus syriacus
Lineage: Eukaryota; Viridiplantae; Streptophyta; Magnoliopsida; Malvales; Malvaceae
Exons: 3
Source: RefSeq, a predicted model, not a curated record